CUCUGGCAAGACACUUUCUGCUGUUAGGUCCACACAGGGGACUCUGGCAAGACACUUUCUGCUGUUAGGUCCACACAGGGGACUCUGGCAAGACACUUUCUGCUGUUAGGUCCACACAGGGGACUCUGGCAAGACACUUUCUGCUGUUAGGUCCACACAGGGGACUCUGGCAAGACACUUUCUGCUGUUAGGUCCACACAGGGGACUCUGGCAAGACACUUUCUGCUGUUAGGUCCACACAGGGGACUCUGGCAAGACACUUUCUGCUGUUAGGUCCACACAGGGGACUCUGGCAAGACACUUUCUGCUGUUAGGUCCACACAGGGGACUCUGGCAAGACACUUUCUGCUGUUAGGUCCACACAGGGGACUC
This is a long non-coding RNA of Dreissena polymorpha, 372 nucleotides long. RefSeq lists it as uncharacterized. The transcript is spliced from 3 exons. The record is from RefSeq and is a predicted model, not a curated record. Lineage: Eukaryota; Metazoa; Mollusca; Bivalvia; Myida; Dreissenidae.